GGCGGCAGCAAUAUCACCCUGUAGCCCAAGACUGGUUGCCCACUGAAGCUAAGCAGGGCUGAGCCUGGUCAGUACCUGGAUGGGAGACCUCCUGGGAAAACUAGGUUGCUGCUGGAA
Molecule: ribosomal RNA, 117 nt
Organism: Sinocyclocheilus anshuiensis
Lineage: Eukaryota; Metazoa; Chordata; Actinopteri; Cypriniformes; Cyprinidae
Source: Ensembl